Molecule: long non-coding RNA, 474 nt
Filed under: Triticum aestivum (bread wheat)
Lineage: Eukaryota; Viridiplantae; Streptophyta; Magnoliopsida; Poales; Poaceae
Description: long non-coding RNA (TAES_LNC015151)
Source: RNAcentral
CACUGCUCCAAUGGUCAUCAGCAUGAGCAUGUAUCUGCAGGCAAGCAUUCUUGCCAUGAUCAUCACCAUGAGCAUGAUCACCACAAAGAGCCUAGCAACCUGCAUUCCACAGACAAGCAUGGCUGCCAUGAUCAUCACCAUGAGCAUGAUCACCAUAAAGAGCCGAGCAACCUGCAUUCCACAGACAAGCAUGGCUGCCAUGAUCAUGGCCAUGGCCAUAGCCACUGCAAAGAGCCGAGCAGCCAGAUGGUGACAAGCAAGCAUGUUUCCCAUGGGCAUGGCCAUACCCACAACAUCUGCAACCCUCACCCCACUGCGAACAAGCAUGAUUGCCAUGACCAUGAACAUAGCCACCACCAAGAACCCAACAGUUCACAUUCUGCCGAUGAGCAUGAUUGCCAUGAUCACAAGCACUGUGAAGAACCAAUCAGCUUGCUUUGUGCCACUGAGCAUGCUUGCCACGACCAUGAGCAG